GGGCCCGCACAAGCGGUGGAGCAUGUGGUUUAAUUCGAAGCAACGCGAAGAACCUUACCAGGUCUUGACAUCCCACUGACCGGCUUAGAGAUAGGCUUUUCCCUUCGGGGACAGUGGUGACAGGUGGUGCAUGGUUGUCGUCAGCUCGUGUCGUGAGAUGUUGGGUUAAGUCCCGCAACGAGCGCAACCCUUGAUCUUAGUUGCCAGCAUUCAGUUGGGCACUCUAAGGUGACUGCCGGUGAUAAACCGGAGGAAGGUGGGGAUGACGUCAAAUCAUCAUGCCCCUUAUGACCUGGGCUACACACGUGCUACAAUGGACGAUACAAAGGGCUGCAAACCCGCGAGGGGGAGCCAAUCCCAUAAAAUCGUUCUCAGUUCGGAUUGUAGGCUGCAACUCGCCUACAUGAAGCCGGAAUCGCUAGUAAUCGUGGAUCAGCAUGCCACGGUGAAUACGUUCCCGGGCCUUGUACACACCGCCCGUCACACCACGAGAGUUUGUAACACCCGAAGUCGGUGAGGUAACCUUUACAGGAGCCAGCCGCCGAAGGUGGGACAGAUGAUUGGGGUG
This 568-nucleotide ribosomal RNA is filed under the name uncultured bacterium. RNAcentral describes it as "bacterial SSU rRNA". It matches the Rfam family "Bacterial small subunit ribosomal RNA", at positions 917 to 1482 of the family's 1533-position model. The record is from RNAcentral.